This 63-nucleotide small RNA is filed under the name Sinorhizobium meliloti 2011. RNAcentral's name for it is "putative ncRNA". Lineage: Bacteria; Pseudomonadati; Pseudomonadota; Alphaproteobacteria; Hyphomicrobiales; Rhizobiaceae. The record is from RNAcentral.
GAGAUUGUUUAUCGUACGCUCCAGAAGCACCGACUCGGUGAUUUCGAGCUCAAGGCGGUCUGC